UACGGGGGGGGCAAGCGUUGUUCGGAGUUACUGGGCGUAAAGGGCUCGUAGGUGGCCAACUAAGUCAGACGUGAAAUCCCCAGGCUCAACUUGGGAACUGCGUCUGAUACUGGAUGGCUUGAAUUCGGGAGAGGGAUGCAGAAUUCCAGGUGUAGCGGUGAAAUGCGUAGAUAUCUGGAGGAAUACCGGUGGCGAAGGCGGCAUCCUGGACCGAGAUUGACACUGAUGAGCGAAAGCUAGGGGAGCAAACGGG
Molecule: ribosomal RNA, 253 nt
Filed under: uncultured bacterium
Lineage: Bacteria
Description: partial 16S ribosomal RNA
Rfam family: Bacterial small subunit ribosomal RNA
Source: RNAcentral